RNAcentral lists this ribosomal RNA (345 nucleotides) under uncultured bacterium. Its description in RNAcentral is "partial 16S ribosomal RNA". It matches the Rfam family "Bacterial small subunit ribosomal RNA", at positions 338 to 694 of the family's 1533-position model. The record is from RNAcentral.
CCUACGGGUGGCAGCAGUCGAGAAUCAUUCACAAUGGGGGAAACCCUGAUGGUGCGACGCCGCGUGGGGGAAUGCAGGUCUUCGGAUUGUAAACCCCUGUCAUGUGGGAGCAAAUUAAAAAGAUAGUACCACAAGAGGAAGAGACGGCUAACUCUGUGCCAGCAGCCGCGGUAAUACAGAGGUCUCAAGCGUUGUUCGGAAUCACUGGGCGUAAAGCGUGAGGAGUCUGUUUCGUAAGUCGUGUGUGAAAGGCGCGGGCUCAAACCGCGGACGGCACAUGAUACUGCGAGACUAGAGUAAUGGAGGGGGAACCGGAAUUCUUGGUGUAGCAGUGAAAUGCGUAGA